RNAcentral lists this long non-coding RNA (229 nucleotides) under Elaeis guineensis (African oil palm). RNAcentral's name for it is "long non-coding RNA (EGUI_LNC014744)". The record is from RNAcentral. Lineage: Eukaryota; Viridiplantae; Streptophyta; Magnoliopsida; Arecales; Arecaceae.
GGUGGUUCUGGCAGUCGAGGUGGCCUUGGCAGAUCCUUAUACUGCUCCCUCCUACGCUGAAUAAAAUGAUUCAACCGACCAUAUCGAAUGAACUUCUCGAUCUCAUCUUGGAGCUGGAUGCAUUCCUUAGUAUUAUGGCUGUGGUCAAGGUGGUAAAGACAGUACUUGUUUGGAUCAUGCUGACCUGAUCAAAUGCAUCCUCCUUGUCUCAGGGAGUUGCUCCUUGACC